AUUGGGCAUGGGCGAAGCCUGACCCAGCUAUGCCGCGUGCAGGAUGACAGCUCUAGUAGUUGUAAACUGCUUUUAUACGGGAAGAAAAGCACCUACGUGUAGGUGUCUGACGGUACCGUAAGAAUAAGGACCGGCUAACUCCGUGCCAGCAGCCGCGGUAAUACGGAGGGUCCAAGCGUUAUCCGGAUUCAUUGGGUUUAAAGGGUGUGUAGGCGGAAAGGUCAGUCAGUGGUGAAAUCCUACAGCUUAACUGUAGAACUGCCAUUGAUACUUCCUUUCUUGAGUCUAGUUGAAGUGAGCGGAAUGUGUCAUGUAGCGGUGAAAUGCAUAGAUAUGACACAGAACACCGAUUGCGAAGGCAGCUCGCUAAGCUAGUACUGACGCUGAGGCACGAAAGCGUGGGUAGCGAACAGGAUUAGAUACCCUGGUAGUCCACGCCGUAAACGAUGAUUACUCGAUGUUGGCGAUAUAAUGUCAGCGUCCAAGCGAAAGUGUUAAGUAAUCCACCUGGGGAGUACGGUCGCAAGAUUGAAACUCAAAGGAAUUGACGGGGGCCCGCACAAGCGGAGGAACAUGUGGUUUAAUUCGAUGAUACGCGAGGAACCUUACCUGGGCUUAAAUGUAAGAUGACAGGCUGGGAAACCAGCUCUCCUUCGGGCAACUUACAAGGUGCUGCAUGGCUGUCGUCAGCUCGUGCCGUGAGGUGUCGGGUUAAGUCCCAUAACGAGCGCAACCCCUAUCCUUAGUUGCCAGCGGAUAAUGCCGGGGACUCUAAGGAAACUGCCCGCGCAAGCGGUGAGGAAGGUGGGGAUGACGUCAAGUCAGCACGGCCCUUACGUCCAGGGCCACACACGUGUUACAAUGGCCGGUACAGAGGGCAGCUACCUGGUGACAGGAUGCGAAUCUCUAAAGCCGGUCUCAGUUCGGAUCGAAGUCUGCAACUCGACUUCGUGAAGUUGGAUUCGCUAGUAAUCGCGCAUCAGCCUCGGCGCGGUGAAUACGUUCCCGGGCCUUGUACACACCGCCCGUCAAGCCAUGGAAGCCGGGGGUACCUGAAGUCAGUCACCGUAAGGAACUGCCUAGGGUAAAACUGGUAACUGGGGCUAAGUCGUAACAAGGUAGCCGUACCGGAAGGUGCGGCUGGAAUACCUCCUUUCU
Molecule: ribosomal RNA, 1158 nt
Filed under: uncultured Cryomorphaceae bacterium
Lineage: Bacteria; Pseudomonadati; Bacteroidota; Flavobacteriia; Flavobacteriales; Cryomorphaceae
Description: bacterial SSU rRNA
Rfam family: Bacterial small subunit ribosomal RNA
Source: RNAcentral